Molecule: non-coding RNA, 70 nt
Filed under: human gut metagenome
Description: Fluoride riboswitch
Rfam family: Fluoride riboswitch aptamer (crcB RNA motif)
Source: RNAcentral
GCAACGGGGAAUGAGGUUCUCCCCAAGAUUAUAUCUUAAACCGCUUUUAAAGCUGAUGACCUCUGCGUUU